UGUAGGGGUAGAGUUCAGGAAUCAAAAUCGGGGGGCUCAUCUUCUCCUUAUGCAGUUUCUGCUGUGCUACCGUGCUGGUGCUAGCGUCGUGAAUCGAAGGUUAAGGAGAGUCAGACCUCAAGGUCCCACUAUCUCAGGUUGGCAGUCUGCUGUCAGUUGCUUCAAGGGCUCUAUUUCGAAGCCCAAAGGUGUUGUUGCUGCGUGAAUCAUGACUUGCAUCUAGGGCAGUCGCGAUUGAGAAGUUCAACAUCGGAGACUAUAGAAAAAUGGCGAAGACACAGAGGCGGCUGAUGAUUGAUUGAAGAAAGAGUUUUUUGGGAGAGAACGGCACAAAGGCAGUAGGAACGAACGAAGACGCCGGCCUUAUUUGGUAAAAUUGAUGGAGAUGAAAAAUAAUUGGGUCGAGAUGAAAAGAUAAGGAAAAGAAAAGCAGAAAAAAC
RNAcentral lists this long non-coding RNA (440 nucleotides) under Olea europaea subsp. europaea. The record is from RNAcentral. Lineage: Eukaryota; Viridiplantae; Streptophyta; Magnoliopsida; Lamiales; Oleaceae.